CGGGAUAUAGUUCAAUGGUAGAACAAAAGUCACAAUCCAUCAUCUCUUUGAAAAAAAGACUUAUGUCCACGGUUCGAUUCCGUGUGUCCCGA
This 92-nucleotide transfer RNA is filed under the name Caudoviricetes sp. RNAcentral describes it as "tRNA-Phe". It matches the Rfam family "tRNA". From Rfam's summary of the family: Transfer RNA (tRNA) molecules are approximately 80 nucleotides in length. Their secondary structure includes four short double-helical elements and three loops (D, anti-codon, and T loops). The record is from RNAcentral. Lineage: Duplodnaviria; Heunggongvirae; Uroviricota; Caudoviricetes.